This 209-nucleotide unclassified non-coding RNA is filed under the name Homalodisca vitripennis (glassy-winged sharpshooter). RNAcentral's name for it is "uncharacterized LOC124374193, transcript variant X1". The record is from RNAcentral. Lineage: Eukaryota; Metazoa; Arthropoda; Insecta; Hemiptera; Cicadellidae.
CCUAGUUGUUGAGGUUAUGACUGCAUGCUGUCUGUCCUUGAACUGUGCACGUUUUCUGUGUUAAGUGUUAAUAAUUAUUUUAAAUGUAAAUUUAUGUUUUGCUGUUUUUUGGGUCUGAAUCCUUUUCGGAGUAGAAAGUCGCCUGGAGGACCUCAGGCGUGAAGAAAGUCUGAUCAGUGGGCCCCAACCAUUUCCAUUGAUCCUGUAAC